CGUCCAGACUCCUACGGGAGGCAGCAGUGAGGAAUAUUGGUCAAUGGGCGGGAGCCUGAACCAGCCAUGCCGCGUGAAGGCGAGUGCCCUACGGGCGUUAAACUUCUUUUGUGCGGGAGCAAUAAGGGCCACGUGUGGCCCGAUGAGAGUACCGCACGAAUAAGCAUCGGCUAACUCCGUGCCAGCAGCCGCGGUAAUACGGGGGAUGCGAGCGUUAUCCGGAUUUAUUGGGUUUAAAGGGUGCGUAGGCGGCGCUUCAGGUCAGCGGUGAAAUACCGGGGCUCAACCCCGGGGCUGCCGUUGAAACUGGUUUUCUUGAGUGAGUGAGAAGUAUGCGGAAUGCGUGGUGUAGCGGUGAAAUGCAUAGAUAUCACGCAGAACUCCGAUUGCGAAGGCAGCAUACCGGCGCUCAACUGACGCUCAUGCACGAAAGUGUGGGUAUCGAACAGGAUUAGAUACCCUCGUAAA
RNAcentral lists this ribosomal RNA (468 nucleotides) under uncultured bacterium. RNAcentral describes it as "bacterial SSU rRNA". It matches the Rfam family "Bacterial small subunit ribosomal RNA", at positions 328 to 794 of the family's 1533-position model. The record is from RNAcentral.